This 492-nucleotide ribosomal RNA is filed under the name uncultured bacterium. RNAcentral describes it as "partial 16S ribosomal RNA". It matches the Rfam family "Bacterial small subunit ribosomal RNA", at positions 29 to 507 of the family's 1533-position model. The record is from RNAcentral.
AGUGAACGCUGGCGGUAGGCCUAACACAUGCAAGUCGAACGGCAGCACAGUAAGAGCCUGCUCUUACGGGUGGCGAGUGGCGGACGGGUGAGGAAUACAUCGGAAUCUACUUUUUCGUGGGGGAUAACGUAGGGAAACUUACGCUAAUACCGCAUACGACCUACGGGUGAAAGCAGGGGAUCUUCGGACCUUGCGCGAUUGAAUGAGCCGAUGUCGGAUUAGCUAGUUGGCGGGGUAAAGGCCCACCAAGGCGACGAUCCGUAGCCGGUCUGAGAGGAUGAUCAGCCACACUGGAACUGAGACACGGUCCAGACUCCUACGGGAGGCAGCAGUGGGGAAUAUUGGACAAUGGGCGCAAGCCUGAUCCAGCCAUACCGCGUGAGUGAAGAAGGCCUUCGGAUUGUAAAGCCCUUUUAUUGGGAAAGAAAAGCAGCAGGUUAAUACCCCGCUGUUCUGACGGUACCCAAAGAAUAAGCACCGGCUAACUUCGUG